This 921-nucleotide ribosomal RNA is filed under the name uncultured bacterium. RNAcentral describes it as "bacterial SSU rRNA". It matches the Rfam family "Bacterial small subunit ribosomal RNA", at positions 27 to 942 of the family's 1533-position model. The record is from RNAcentral.
GGACGAACGCUGGCGGCGUGCCUAACACACGCAAGUCGAGCGGGGAUGUAUGGAGGAAGUUUUCGGAUGGAAUCGAUACAUUCUAGCGGCGGACGGGUGAGUAACGCGUGAGCAACCUGCCUUUCACAGGGGGAUAACGGAUCGAAAGAUUCACUAAUACCGCAUGAGACCACGAUACCGAGUGGUAUAGGGGUCAAAGGAGCAAUCCGGUGAAAGAUGGGCUCGCGUCCGAUUAGGUAGUUGGUGGGGUAAUGGCUCACCAAGCCAAUGAUCGGUAGCCGACCUGAGAGGGUGAUCGGCCACACUGGAACUGAGAGACGGUCCAGACUCCUACGGGAGGCAGCAGUGGGGAAUAUUGGGCAAUGGGGGAAACCCUGACCCAGCAACGCCGCGUGAGGGAAGAAGGUUAUCGGAUUGUAAACCUCUGUCCUUGGUGAAGAGCAGAAGACGGUAUCCAAGGAGGAAGCCCCGGCUAACUACGUGCCAUCAGCCGCGGUAAUACUUAGGGGGCGAGCGUUGUCCGGAAUGAUUGGGCGUAAAGGGCGCGUAGGCGGCUUGUUAAGUCUGGAAUGGAAGUCCUCUUUUCAAGGGAGGAAUUGCUUUGGAAACUGGCGGGCUUGAGUGCUGAGAGGUUAUCGGAAUUCCCGGUGUAACGGUGAUAUGCGUAGAGAUCGGGAGGAACACCAUGGCUAAUGCGGGUAACUGGACUGCUACUGACCGCUGAUGCGCGAAAGUGUGGGGAGUAACAGGAUUAGAUACCCUUGGUAGUCCACACUGUUAUACGAUGAGUGCUAGGUUUUAGGAGGUAUCGACCCCUUUCUGUGCCGUAGUAAACGCAUUUAGCACUCCGCCGUGGGGAAUACCGUCGCAGAUAAAAACUCAAAGGAAUUGACGGGGUGCCCUCUCAUCCAGCGAACAUGU